UACAGAGGGUGCAAGCGUUAAUCGGAAUUACUGGGCGUAAAGCGUGCGUAGGUGGUUUGUUAAGUCAGGCGUGAAAUCCCUGGGCUCAACCUGGGAACUGCGUUUGAUACUGGCAGACUCGAGUGUGGUAGAGGGUAGUGGAAUUCCGCAUGUAGCAGUGAAAUGCGUAGAUAUGCGGAGGAACACCAGUGGCGACGGCGGCUACCUGGACCAACACUGACACUGAGGCACGAAAGCGUGGGGAGCAAACAGG
Molecule: ribosomal RNA, 253 nt
Filed under: uncultured bacterium
Lineage: Bacteria
Description: partial 16S ribosomal RNA
Rfam family: Bacterial small subunit ribosomal RNA
Source: RNAcentral